AAACCAUGAUGAGGACAAAGGUGCUACAAAUCAUUGAAUCUUUCCCAAGCUUCAGACAAUGACUCUCCAGGAUCUUGGGUGAAAGUCACUAUCUCAUGGCGCAU
Non-coding RNA from Beta vulgaris subsp. vulgaris (sugar beet), 104 nucleotides. NCBI's taxonomy places the organism in Eukaryota, Viridiplantae, Streptophyta, Magnoliopsida, Caryophyllales, Amaranthaceae. The record is from Rfam.